AUUGAACGCUGGCGGCAUGCUUUACACAUGCAAGUCGAGCGGCAGCGCGGGACUCAGGCAACUGAGCCCUGGCGGCGAGCGGCGAACGGGUGAGUAAUGCAUCGGAACGUGUCCCGUAGUGGGGGAUAACGCCGCGAAAGCGGCGCUAAUACCGCAUAUGCUCUACGGAGGAAAGUGGGGGACCUGCAAGGGCCUCACGCUAUGGGAGCGGCCGAUGCCGAUUAGCUAGUUGGUGGGGUAAUGGCCUACCAAGGCGACGAUCGGUAGCUGGUCUGAGAGGAUGAUCAGCCACACUGGGACUGAGACACGGCCCAGACUCCUACGGGAGGCAGCAGUGGGAAUUUUGGACAAUGGGGCAACCCCUGAUCCAGCCAUGCCGCGUGCGGGAAGAAGGCCUCGGUUGUAACG
Molecule: ribosomal RNA, 408 nt
Filed under: uncultured bacterium
Lineage: Bacteria
Description: bacterial SSU rRNA
Rfam family: Bacterial small subunit ribosomal RNA
Source: RNAcentral